Molecule: non-coding RNA, 21 nt
Filed under: Caenorhabditis elegans
Lineage: Eukaryota; Metazoa; Nematoda; Chromadorea; Rhabditida; Rhabditidae
Source: RNAcentral
UGAGGAGUGGAUUCGUUCAGU